GGUAAAGUCAUGUUAUCCUGUUAUUGACGGACACCGUUUUACAAUUCAGUGAUUCAGUAUUACUUACAGCUGAUGAUGUUCUGCUUUUGUGAUGUCAUAUUCUUUUGGCUAUUUAUCUUCCCUUUUCUCUCAAUGUCUUCAGAUAGUCCCAAACUUCAUCAGAUUUUUCGACCUUGAACCAUUACAUCCUCACGGUAAAGGUGGCCAAAUCUCUUCUCACCAGCACUUGGCUUCCAGCUCAGAUAAUAUCGGCGAUGUCAUAACCAGCAAGAUGGCCGUUCUUCCUAAACUCUUUCCCAUAGCAGCCUUGCUGCUGUCUUCCUUGCCUUUCCAAUUAUUGCCUUAGCAUCCUCCAUACUGACUGUGCAGGAAAUCCCCUGCAGCCUUCUUCUUCUCAGAAUAGCCAUGCUUUCCAACCGCUCUCUCUCUUCAUGUUGUCAUCAGUAUAUGUACUUCUUUUUCUUUCACUGGUAUGCCUGUUUCCAUCUCUCUUCCCAAGAAACUUUUAUUUCUUCUGUUACUAUCAUCUUUGACUUCUAUGUGACCAAACUACAAUGUCUGUGUUUAUGGUUGUCUGUACACAUUCCAGAAACAAAAGCUUCUUGUCAAUGUCAGCUCUCAUGUUCCAUUCCCUGCCCCUGUCCAAGAUGAAGUGCUGAUGUGAUUUUGUUGCAUAACCAGUAUCUACCUCUCUUGGAGAAUCUGAUCUGCUUUGCCUCUGUUGUCGAUGGUCUGUUCUUCCUUCUCUCAAUAUCACGGAUUUCUGCAAGAUGAUUUAGGACCAUGUAAGUUGUGCCGUCGUCGAUAUCUUCUCUGUGUCAGAACAAUCUUACAGCCUGAAAGUAUAUGUGCCAUAGUACCUCUUUCUCAACAGAACUUGCAGCCUUGUUCUAUCAGUCUCCACUAAUAUAAGAUUGAAGAGGGAGGAAGUGUAUUGUAGACUGACCUAAGAAUGAAUGAAAUUCGGAAUGGUUCCAUCCUCCAUAACUCAGCCCAUGAUAUACUAUAUACUAGUACCUUAUAUAGACGUCCUACUUAAAACUUAAAAAGUCACGUGAUAAAAG
RNAcentral lists this long non-coding RNA (1064 nucleotides) under Mytilus galloprovincialis (Mediterranean mussel). Lineage: Eukaryota; Metazoa; Mollusca; Bivalvia; Mytilida; Mytilidae. The record is from RNAcentral.